RNAcentral lists this ribosomal RNA (1009 nucleotides) under Enterococcus durans. RNAcentral's name for it is "bacterial SSU rRNA". It matches the Rfam family "Bacterial small subunit ribosomal RNA", at positions 68 to 1053 of the family's 1533-position model. Lineage: Bacteria; Bacillati; Bacillota; Bacilli; Lactobacillales; Enterococcaceae. The record is from RNAcentral.
GCUUCUUUUUCCACCGGAGCUUGCUCCACCGGAAAAAGAAGAGUGGCGAACGGGUGAGUAACACGUGGGUAACCUGCCCAUCAGAAGGGGAUAACACUUGGAAACAGGUGCUAAUACCGUAUAACAAUCGAAACCGCAGGUUUUGAUUUGAAAGGCGCUUUCGGGUGUCGCUGAUGGAUGGACCCGCGGUGCAUUAGCUAGUUGGUGAGGUAACGGCUCACCAAGGCCACGAUGCAUAGCCGACCUGAGAGGGUGAUCGGCCACAUUGGGACUGAGACACGGCCCAAACUCCUACGGGAGGCAGCAGUAGGGAAUCUUCGGCAAUGGACGAAAGUCUGACCGAGCAACGCCGCGUGAGUGAAGAAGGUUUUCGGAUCGUAAAACUCUGUUGUUAGAGAAGAACAAGGAUGAGAGUAACUGUUCAUCCCUUGACGGUAUCUAACCAGAAAGCCACGGCUAACUACGUGCCAGCAGCCGCGGUAAUACGUAGGUGGCAAGCGUUGUCCGGAUUUAUUGGGCGUAAAGCGAGCGCAGGCGGUUUCUUAAGUCUGAUGUGAAAGCCCCCGGCUCAACCGGGGAGGGUCAUUGGAAACUGGGAGACUUGAGUGCAGAAGAGGAGAGUGGAAUUCCAUGUGUAGCGGUGAAAUGCGUAGAUAUAUGGAGGAACACCAGUGGCGAAGGCGGCUCUCUGGUCUGUAACUGACGCUGAGGCUCGAAAGCGUGGGGAGCAAACAGGAUUAGAUACCCUGGUAGUCCACGCCGUAAACGAUGAGUGCUAAGUGUUGGAGGGUUUCCGCCCUUCAGUGCUGCAGCUAACGCAUUAAGCACUCCGCCUGGGGAGUACGACCGCAAGGUUGAAACUCAAAGGAAUUGACGGGGGCCCGCACAAGCGGUGGAGCAUGUGGUUUAAUUCGAAGCAACGCGAGACCUUACCAGUCUGACAUCCUUUGACCACUCUAGAGAUAGAGCUUCCCCUUCGGGGCAAAGUGACAGGUGGUGCAUGGUUGUC